Molecule: ribosomal RNA, 382 nt
Filed under: Pseudomonas aeruginosa
Lineage: Bacteria; Pseudomonadati; Pseudomonadota; Gammaproteobacteria; Pseudomonadales; Pseudomonadaceae
Description: partial 23S ribosomal RNA
Rfam family: Bacterial large subunit ribosomal RNA
Source: RNAcentral
GUUAACGAGGCGAACCGGGGGAACUGAAACAUCUAAGUACCCCGAGGAAAAGAAAUCAACCGAGAUUCCCCCAGUAGCGGCGAGCGAACGGGGAGCAGCCCAGAGUCUGAAUCAGCUUGUGUGUUAGUGGAACGGUCUGGAAAGUCCGACGGUACAGGGUGAUAGUCCCGUACACCAAAAUGCACAGGCUGUGAACUCGAAGAGUAGGGCGGGACACGUGGUAUCCUGUCUGAAUAUGGGGGGACCAUCCUCCAAGGCUAAAUACUCCUGACUGACCGAUAGUGAACCAGUACCGUGAGGGAAAGGCGAAAAGAACCCCGGCGAGGGGAGUGAAAAAGAACCUGAAACCGUGUACGUACAAGCAGUGGGAGCACCUUCGGGU